This 460-nucleotide ribosomal RNA is filed under the name uncultured bacterium. RNAcentral describes it as "partial 16S ribosomal RNA". It matches the Rfam family "Bacterial small subunit ribosomal RNA", at positions 338 to 795 of the family's 1533-position model. The record is from RNAcentral.
CCUACGGGGGGCAGCAGUGAGGAAUAUUGGUCAAUGGGCGCGAGCCUGAACCAGCCAAGUAGCGUGAAGGAUGACUGCCCUCUGGGUUGUAAACUUCUUUUAUAUGGGAAUAAAACAGGGUAUGCAUACCCUCUUGUAUGUACCAUAUGAAUAAGGAUCGGCUAACUCCGUGCCAGCAGCCGCGGUAAUACGGAGGAUCCGAGCGUUAUCCGGAUUUAUUGGGUUUAAAGGGAGCGUAGGUGGGUUGUUAAGUCAGUUGUGAAAGUUUGCGGCUCAACCGUAAAAUUGCAGUUGAAACUGGCAGUCUUGAGUACAGUAGAGGUGGGCGGAAUUCGUGGUGUAGCGGUGAAAUGCUUAGAUAUCACGAAGAACUCCGAUUGCGAAGGCAGCUCACUGGACUGCAACUGACACUGAUGCUCGAAAGUGUGGGUAGCAAACAGGAUUAGAUACCCUAGUAGUC